This 475-nucleotide ribosomal RNA is filed under the name uncultured Curvibacter sp. RNAcentral's name for it is "bacterial SSU rRNA". It matches the Rfam family "Bacterial small subunit ribosomal RNA", at positions 8 to 478 of the family's 1533-position model. The record is from RNAcentral. Lineage: Bacteria; Pseudomonadati; Pseudomonadota; Betaproteobacteria; Burkholderiales; Comamonadaceae.
AGAGUUUGAUCCUGGCUCAGAACGAACGCUGGCGGCAUGCCUUACACAUGCAAGUCGAACGGCAGCACGGGAGCAAUCCUGGUGGCGAGUGGCGAACGGGUGAGUAAUAUAUCGGAACGUGCCCAGUCGUGGGGGAUAACGUAGCGAAAGCUACGCUAAUACCGCAUACGAUCUAUGGAUGAAAGCGGGGGAUCGAAAGACCUCGCGCGAUUGGAGCGGCCGAUAUCAGAUUAGGUAGUUGGUGAGGUAAAGGCUCACCAAGCCGACGAUCUGUAGCUGGUCUGAGAGGACGACCAGCCACACUGGGACUGAGACACGGCCCAGACUCCUACGGGAGGCAGCAGUGGGGAAUUUUGGACAAUGGGCGCAAGCCUGAUCCAGCAAUGCCGCGUGCGGGAUGAAGGCCUUCGGGUUGUAAACUGCUUUUGUACGGAACGAAACGGUGAGCUCUAAUACAGUUUGCUAAUGACGGUAC